This 433-nucleotide ribosomal RNA is filed under the name uncultured bacterium. RNAcentral describes it as "partial 16S ribosomal RNA". It matches the Rfam family "Bacterial small subunit ribosomal RNA", at positions 29 to 507 of the family's 1533-position model. The record is from RNAcentral.
AACGAACGCUGGCGGCAUGCCUAACACAUGCAAGUCGAACGAGACCUUCGGGUCUAGUGGCGCACGGGUGCGUAACGCGUGGGAACCUGCACUUAGGUUCGGAAUAACUCACCGAAAGGGGUGCUAAUACAGGAUAAUGUCUUCGGACCAAAGAUCUAUCGCCUUUGGAUGGGCCCGCGUUGGAUUAGCUAGUUGGUAGGGUAAAAGCCUACCAAGGCGACGAUCCAUAGCUGGUCUGAGAGGAUGAUCAGCUACACUGGGACUGAGACACGGCCCAGACUCCUACGGGAGGCAGCAGUGGGGAAUAUUAGACAAUGGACGAAAGCCUGAUACAGCAAUGCCGCGUGAGUGAUGAAGGCCUUAGGGUUGUAAAGCUCUUUUACCCGGGAUGAGAAUGACAGUACCGGGAGAAUAAGCUCCGGCUAACUCCGUG